This 166-nucleotide ribosomal RNA is filed under the name Anopheles gambiae (African malaria mosquito). RNAcentral describes it as "eukaryotic small subunit ribosomal RNA". It matches the Rfam family "Eukaryotic small subunit ribosomal RNA", at positions 1667 to 1823 of the family's 1831-position model. The record is from RNAcentral. Lineage: Eukaryota; Metazoa; Arthropoda; Insecta; Diptera; Culicidae.
CACCGCCCGUCGCUACUACCGAUGGAUUAUUUAGUGAGGUCUCUGGAGGCACACCUUCCGCGAUUCCUUCGUGAGUUGCAGUUGGCACGGCCGAAGUUGACCGAACUUGAUGAUUUAGAGGAAGUAAAAGUCGUAACAAGGUUUGCCGUAGGUGAACCUGCGGAAG